RNAcentral lists this ribosomal RNA (342 nucleotides) under uncultured bacterium. RNAcentral describes it as "bacterial SSU rRNA". It matches the Rfam family "Bacterial small subunit ribosomal RNA", at positions 30 to 372 of the family's 1533-position model. The record is from RNAcentral.
AUUGAACGCUGGCGGCAUGCCUUACACAUGCAAGUCGAACGGCAGCGCGGGGGCAACCCUGGCGGCGAGUGGCGAACGGGUGAGUAAUAUAUCGGAACGUACCCAAGAGUGGGGGAUAACGUAGCGAAAGUUACGCUAAUACCGCAUACGAUCUAAGGAUGAAAGCAGGGGACCGCAAGGCCUUGUGCUCCUGGAGCGGCCGAUAUCUGAUUAGCUAGUUGGUGGGGUAAAGGCCUACCAAGGCAUCGAUCAGUAGCUGGUCUGAGAGGACGACCAGCCACACUGGGACUGAGACACGGCCCAGACUCCUACGGGAGGCAGCAGUGGGGAAUUUUGGACAAU